RNAcentral lists this transfer RNA (77 nucleotides) under Planctomycetota bacterium. Its description in RNAcentral is "Planctomycetes bacterium (activated sludge metagenome) tRNA-Met". It matches the Rfam family "tRNA". Rfam says of the family: Transfer RNA (tRNA) molecules are approximately 80 nucleotides in length. Their secondary structure includes four short double-helical elements and three loops (D, anti-codon, and T loops). Lineage: Bacteria; Pseudomonadati; Planctomycetota. The record is from RNAcentral.
GGCAGGAUAGCUCAGUUGGUUAGAGCGGAGGCUUCAUAAGCCUUAGGUCGCCGGUUCAAGUCCGGCUCCUGCUACCA